GGGUUGUGAGGUUAAGCGACUAAGCGUACACGGUGGAUGCCCUGGCAGUCAGAGGCGAUGAAGGACGUGCUAAUCUGCGAAAAGCGCCGGCGAGGUGAUAUGAACCUUUGACCCGGCGAUGUCCGAAUGGGGAAACCCAGUGUGUUCCGACACACUAUCGUUAACUGAAUACAUAGGUUAACGAGGCGAACCGGGGGAACUGAAACAUCUAAGUACCCCGAGGAAAAGAAAUCAACCGAGAUUCCCCCAGUAGCGGCGAGCGAACGGGGAGCAGCCCAGAGUCUGAAUCAGCUUGUGUGUUAGUGGAAGCGUCUGGAAAGUCGCACGGUACAGGGUGACAGUCCCGUACACGAAAGCACACAGGNUGUGAACUCGAAGAGUAGGGCGGGACACGUGGUAUCCUGUCUGAAUAUGGGGGGACCAUCCUCCAAGGCUAAAUACUCCUGACUGACCGAUAGUGAACCAGUACCGUGAGGGAAAGGCGAAAAGAACCCCGGCGAGGGGAGUGAAAAAGAACCUGAAACCGUGUACGUACAAGCAGUGGGAGCCUCUUUUAUGGGGUGACUGCGUACCUUUUGUAUAAUGGGUCAGCGACUUAUAUUCUGUAGCAAGGUUAACCGUAUAGGGGAGCCGAAGGGAAACCGAGUCUUAACUGGGCGUUAAGUUGCAGGGUAUAGACCCGAAACCCGGUGAUCUAGCCAUGGGCAGGUUGAAGGUUGGGUAACACUAACUGGAGGACCGAACCGACUAAUGUUGAAAAAUUAGCGGAUGACUUGUGGCUGGGGGUGAAAGGCCAAUCAAACCGGGAGAUAGCUGGUUCUCCCCGAAAGCUAUUUAGGUAGCGCCUCGUGAACUCAUCUUCGGGGGUAGAGCACUGUUUCGGCUAGGGGGCCAUCCCGGCUUACCAACCCGAUGCAAACUACGAAUACCGAAGAAUGUUAUCACGGGAGACACACGGCGGGUGCUAACGUCCGUCGUGAAGAGGGAAACAACCCAGACCGCCAGCUAAGGUCCCAAAGUCAUGGUUAAGUGGGAAACGAUGUGGGAAGGCACAGACAGCCAGGAUGUUGGCUUAGAAGCAGCCAUCAUUUAAAGAAAGCGUAAUAGCUCACUGGUCGAGUCGGCCUGCGCGGAAGAUGUAACGGGGCUAAACCAUGCACCGAAGCUGCGGCAGCGACGCUUAUGCGUUGUUGGGUAGGGGAGCGUUCUGUAAGCCGUUGAAGGUGUCCUGUGAGGGGUGCUGGAGGUAUCAGAAGUGCGAAUGCUGACAUAAGUAACGAUAAAGCGGGUGAAAAGCCCGCUCGCCGGAAGACCAAGGGUUCCUGUCCAACGUUAAUCGGGGCAGGGUGAGUCGACCCCUAAGGCGAGGCCGAAAGGCGUAGUCGAUGGGAAACAGGUUAAUAUUCCUGUACUUGGUGUUACUGCGAAGGGGGGACGGAGAAGGCUAUGUUAGCCGGGCGACGGUUGUCCCGGUUUAAGCAUGUAGGCGGAACGAUUAGGUAAAUCCGGUCGUUUAUUAACGCUGAGGUGUGAUGACGAGGCACUACGGUGCUGAAGUAACAAAUGCCCUGCUUCCAGGAAAAGCCUCUAAGCAUCAGGUAACAUCAAAUCGUACCCCAAACCGACACAGGUGGUCAGGUAGAGAAUACCAAGGCGCUUGAGAGAACUCGGGUGAAGGAACUAGGCAAAAUGGUGCCGUAACUUCGGGAGAAGGCACGCUGAUAUGUAGGUGAAGCCCCUGCGGGUGGAGCUGAAAUCAGUCGAAGAUACCAGCUGGCUGCAACUGUUUAUUAAAAACACAGCACUGUGCAAACACGAAAGU
This 1822-nucleotide ribosomal RNA is filed under the name Enterobacter ludwigii. RNAcentral's name for it is "partial 23S ribosomal RNA". It matches the Rfam family "Bacterial large subunit ribosomal RNA", at positions 1 to 1838 of the family's 2925-position model. Lineage: Bacteria; Pseudomonadati; Pseudomonadota; Gammaproteobacteria; Enterobacterales; Enterobacteriaceae. The record is from RNAcentral.